GACCAGACUCCUACGGGAGGCAGCAGUGAGGAAUAUUGGUCAAUGGGCGAGAGCCUGAACCAGCCAAGUCGCGUGAGGGAGUACUGCCCUAUGGGUUGUAAACCUCUUUUGUCGGGGAGCAAAAGCCGGACGUGUCCGUCUGUGAGAGUACCCGAAGAAAAAGCAUCGGCUAACUCCGUGCCAGCAGCCGCGGUAAUACGGAGGAUGCGAGCGUUAUCCGGAUUUAUUGGGUUUAAAGGGUGCGCAGGCGGGCUGUUAAGCCGGCGGUAAAAAUUCAGGGCUCGACCCUGUCGAGCCGUCGGAACUGGCAGUCUUGAGAUGUCGAGAGGUAUGCGGAAUGCGCAGUGUAGCGGUGAGAUGCUUAGAUAUUGCGCAGAACUCCGAUUGCGAAGGCAGCAUACCGGCGGCGAUCUGACGCUGAGGCACGAAAGCGUGGGUAUCGAACAGGAUUAGAUACCCUCGUA
RNAcentral lists this ribosomal RNA (464 nucleotides) under uncultured bacterium. RNAcentral's name for it is "bacterial SSU rRNA". It matches the Rfam family "Bacterial small subunit ribosomal RNA", at positions 329 to 792 of the family's 1533-position model. The record is from RNAcentral.